CUGCCUCCCGGGCGACUUCCACCACCGCGUCUCACCACCGCAGUAUUAACCUGAGGUCUUUAAGGGAGAGGAAAGGAGACACUUGCAAAAGCCAAAGAUUGACCGAGUUACCUGAGGCCAGGAAGAGGCAGCCCUCGAACCUGACGUCACAGCGCAGUCCUCCCUGUUGGCCCCGUGGCCCAGCCUAUACCGCUUACUCUCAAGACGGGCGGAGGACCGUUCUUCUGGGUCAGAACUGGUGCCCUCCAUAGAACAAACCAAAAAGUGUCCCUCCUGCCGACUCACCUGAUGUGUGGAUCAAGGAAGCACCUACUAUCCCGGGCAGCCGGCUUUCCUCUCCCACAGUUCCUGUCCGUAUACCACAGAUCAAAGGCCUGGGCACUGCUGUGUGUCAGAAGUGACAAGCACUUUACUUUCUGGCAGUUUUUGUGUCUUCUAGUCGCUGUUGACCCUCUGGGGGACAGUAACGUCAUGGUUUUUAGGUUUUUUUUUUUUGUUUUUUUUUUGGUUUUUUUUGGCGUGUGUGCUGUGUUUUUGUAGAUCCUCACGGCCCUGUGCUGGGCUGUAAUGGGAUCGCCUAUUUAAAGACACUACCGUGAUCUCAGAUGUAUAUAAUGGGUUUUUUGUUUUGUUUUUGUUUUUUUACUAUGAUGGGAUUGUUUCAUUUCUCAUGUUAAUGUGAGAGACGUAUGCCAAAUGAUUAGUUGAUGUAUUUUUUUUAAUUUAAUAUUUAAAUAAAAUAUUUGGGGGGAAAUCUUGACUUUCCCUUAGUUCAC
RNAcentral lists this long non-coding RNA (776 nucleotides) under Rattus norvegicus (Norway rat). RNAcentral describes it as "long non-coding RNA NONRATT017649". Lineage: Eukaryota; Metazoa; Chordata; Mammalia; Rodentia; Muridae. The record is from RNAcentral.